UUCGAAGGGGGCUAGCGUCGUUCGGAUUUACUGGGCGUAAAGCGCACGUAGGCGGUUUGUUAAGUGAGAGGUGAAAUCCCAGAGCUCAACUCUGGAACUGCCUUUCAUACUGGCAAGCUAGAGUCCGGAAGAGGUAAGUGGAACUCCUAGUGUAGAGGUGGAAUUCGCAGAUAUUAGGAAGAACACCUGUGGCGAAGGCGGCUUACUGGUCCGGAACUGACGCUGAGGUGCGAAAGCGUGGGGAGCAAACAGG
This 253-nucleotide ribosomal RNA is filed under the name uncultured bacterium. RNAcentral describes it as "partial 16S ribosomal RNA". It matches the Rfam family "Bacterial small subunit ribosomal RNA", at positions 524 to 776 of the family's 1533-position model. The record is from RNAcentral.